Molecule: ribosomal RNA, 252 nt
Filed under: uncultured bacterium
Lineage: Bacteria
Description: partial 16S ribosomal RNA
Rfam family: Bacterial small subunit ribosomal RNA
Source: RNAcentral
UACGUAGGGGGCAAGCGUUAUCCGGAAUCACUGGGCGUAAAGGGUGCGUAGGCGGUCUAUCAAGCCAGAAGUGAAAGGCAUUGGCUCAACCAAUGUAAGCUUUUGGAACUGAUGGACUUGAGUGCAGGAGAGGAAAGUGGAAUUCCUAGUGUAGAGGUGAAAUUCGUAGAUAUUAGGAGGAACACCAGUGGCGAAGGCGACUUUCUGGACUGUAACUGACGCUGAGGCACGAAAGUGUGGGGAGCGAACAGG